CCGCGAAACUGCGAAUGGCUCAUUAUAUAAGUUAUCGUUUAUUUGAUAGCACGUUACUACUUGGAUAACCGUGGUAAUUCUAGAGCUAAUACAUGCUAAAAACCCCGACUUCGGAAGGGGUGUAUUUAUUAGAUUAAAAGCCAACGCCCUUCGGGGCUCUGUGGUGAUUCAUGAUAACUUUUCGAAUCGCAUGGCCUUGCGCCGGCGAUGGUUCAUUCAAAUUUCUUCCCUAUCAACUUUCGAUGCGAGGGUCUUGUCCUCGCAUGGUUGCAACGGGUAACGGAGGGUUAGGGCUCGACCCCGGAGAAGGAGCCUGAGAAACGGCUACUACAUCCAAGGAAGGCAGCAGGCGCGCAAAUUACCCAAUCCCGACACGGGGAGGUAGUGACAAUAAAUACUGAUACAGGGCUCUUUAGGGUCUUGUAAUCGGAAUGAGUACAAUUUAAAUCCCUUAACGAGGAACAAUUGGAGGGCAAGUCUGGUGCCAGCAGCCGCGGUAAUUCCAGCUCCAAUAGCGUAUAUUAAAGUUGUUGUGGUUAAAAAGCUCGUAGUCGAACCUUGGGCCUGGCCGGCCGGUCCCCCUCACCGGGUGCACUGAUCCGGCCGGGCCUUUCCCUCUGUGGAACCCCAUGGCCUUCACUGGCUGUGCGGGGGAAACAGGACUUUUACUGUGAAAAAAUUAGAGUGCUCCAGGCAGGCCUAUGCUCGAAUACAUUAGCAUGGAAUAAUAGAAUAGGACGUGUGGUUCUAUUUUGUUGGUUUCUAGGACCGCCGUAAUGAUUAAUAGGGACAGUCGGGGGCAUCAGUAUUCAAUUGUCAGAGGUGAAAUUCUUGGAUCUAUUGAAGACUAACUACUGCGAAAGCAUUUGCCAAGGAUGUUUUCAUU
Molecule: ribosomal RNA, 886 nt
Filed under: Microascus sp. SC230909
Lineage: Eukaryota; Fungi; Ascomycota; Sordariomycetes; Microascales; Microascaceae
Description: SSU rRNA
Rfam family: Eukaryotic small subunit ribosomal RNA
Source: RNAcentral